AUGCUGGGUAGACGUGAAAACCCAGGGGAACAUGAAGCCAUGUGUAAGAUGAAAAAUGAAUUUAUGGUGAACUGGGAUGGUCUGAGAACAAAAGACAAAGAACGUGUAUUAGUACUUGCUGCAACUAAUAGGCCGUUUAAUCUUGAUGAGGUUGGAUCUUUGACUAGCCGGUGUCAGUCCUGUUUUUCAGCUAUGACAAGUGAUUGCCAUGCUCUGCAUCCGCAACUCUAA
Molecule: ribosomal RNA, 231 nt
Filed under: Triticum aestivum (bread wheat)
Lineage: Eukaryota; Viridiplantae; Streptophyta; Magnoliopsida; Poales; Poaceae
Description: partial small subunit ribosomal RNA
Source: RNAcentral